ACAAAUGUCUUUUUUGUUCUUUAUCUAGGUCCUUGGACACAGAGCUUCCAGCAGUGAUUGGAGACCCAACCCCACUGCACAGUUCUUUAAUGGCAGUUCCCGGUCCAUAGUUCACAGAAUACACCGCCCUAUGAGCUCUCCAUGAAAAGUUACGAGUAAAGUUCACACUUUUGGGUAGUCAAGUUCCACAGGGUCUUUUCCAAAACGGAGCCACCGAGACGGGCAUCAACUUUCUCCAUCAGGACUUUUGACACAGUUGCCUCUCUACCGCUGACCUUGAAAUCACUUGCAGCCUUGAAUGCCCCUGCAUCUGAGUCGGUGACAAGCUUUUCCACCUCCAGGCCGACUUUUUGAGGUUUUCCAGACUUUCGUAGCAGUAUGCCUGUUCAUUACCAAUUUAUGAGGCCAGAGGUUUCUUUUGACUUACCUUAGUGGUUCAUCUUUGGCCACAUGUGAAGGACGGAGCAGCCUGUGAGAAGAUGUCCGAUGUACAGGAAUCUCCAUCUUCAGUACCAGUAGAAGACUUGACCUAGCAGCCCAAGCCUUGGUGAUAGCCACUUUUCAUUUUGGUUUCAUACCCUAUGGUCCUGACUGUUUCCAAAAAUGGUAAAUUUGAAAAAUAUGUGGGAUCCUAUAGGGACCACGGAACAAAAU
This is a long non-coding RNA of Mizuhopecten yessoensis (Yesso scallop), 654 nucleotides long. RefSeq lists it as uncharacterized. Lineage: Eukaryota; Metazoa; Mollusca; Bivalvia; Pectinida; Pectinidae. The transcript is spliced from 4 exons. The record is from RefSeq and is a predicted model, not a curated record.